This 447-nucleotide ribosomal RNA is filed under the name uncultured bacterium. RNAcentral's name for it is "bacterial SSU rRNA". It matches the Rfam family "Bacterial small subunit ribosomal RNA", at positions 328 to 792 of the family's 1533-position model. The record is from RNAcentral.
UUACCAGACUCCUACGGGAGGCAGCAGUGGGGGAUAUUGCACAAUGGGGGGAACCCUGAUGCAGCGACGCCGCGUGGGUGAAGAAGCGCCUCGGCGCGUAAAGCCCUGUCAGCAGGGAAGAAAAUGACGGUACCUGAAGAAGAAGCCCCGGCUAACUCCGUGCCAGCAGCCGCGGUAAUACGGGGGAUGCGAGCGUUAUCCGGAUUUAUUGGGUUUAAAGGGUGCGUAGGCGGCGCUUCAGGUCAGCGGUGAAAUACCGGGGCUCAACCCCGGGGCUGCCGUUGAAACCGGAGCGCUAGAAUUCCGAUGCCGUCGGAGGAAUGUGUGGUGUAGCGGUGAAAUGCAUAGAUAUCACACAGAACACCGAUUGCGAAGGCAGCAUACCGGUGCACAACUGACGCUCAGGCACGAAAGCGUGGGUAUCGAACAGGAUUAGAUACCCGUGUA